This 374-nucleotide ribosomal RNA is filed under the name uncultured eukaryote. Its description in RNAcentral is "partial 18S ribosomal RNA". It matches the Rfam family "Eukaryotic small subunit ribosomal RNA", at positions 592 to 976 of the family's 1831-position model. The record is from RNAcentral.
UAAUAGUGUAUAUUAAAGUUGUUGCAGUUAAAAAGCUCGUAGUUGAAUGUUGGUGUCGAACGAGCGGUCAGCUUCGGCUGUACUGCUCUCUCGACUCCUUCCUUCUGUGGACUACGUCGCACUUUACUGUGUGGCGCUAGGACGCAGAUCGUUUACUGUGAAAAAAUUAGAGUGUUCAAAGCAGUCCGUACGCUUGAAUACAUUAGCAUGGAAUAAUGGAAUAGGACGUCGGGCCUAUUUUGUUGGUUCUAGGACCGUCGUAAUGAUUAAUAGGGACAGUUGGGGCCGUUUAUAUUCCGUAGUCAGAGGUGAAAUUCUUGGAUUUACGGAAGAUAAACUACUGCGAAAGCAUUCGGCAAGGAUGUUUUCGUUAA